UAACGAAUCUUCCGCAAUGCGCGAAAGCGUGACGGGGUAAUGCCGCGUGCAGGAUGAAGCCCUUCGGGGUGUAAACUGCUGUCAGGGGCUAGGAAUUUCAUGACCAGCCCCAAAGGAAGAGCCGGCUAACUCUGUGCCAGCAGCCGCGGUAAUACAGAGGGCUCGAGCGUUAAUCGGAAUCACUGGGCUUAAAGCGUGCGUAGGCGGAUCUUCAGGCUUGUUGUGAAAUCCCACGGCUCAACCGUGGAAUUGCGAUGAGAACCGGAGAUCUUGAGUCAGGUAGAGGCGGGUGGAACGAUAGGUGGAGCGGUGAAAUGCGUAGAUAUCUAUCGGAACGCCAAAGGUGAAGACAGGUGACUGGGCCAAAUCUGACGCUGAGGCACGAAAGCGUGGGGAGCAAACGGGAUUAGAUACCCCGGUAGUCCACGCUGUAAACGAUGCAUACUUGGUCGGAGUGGUUUGACUCCAUUCCGGCCGUAGGAAAACUGAUGAGUAUGCCGCCUGGGGAGUACGGUCGCAAGAUUA
This 525-nucleotide ribosomal RNA is filed under the name uncultured prokaryote. RNAcentral's name for it is "bacterial SSU rRNA". It matches the Rfam family "Bacterial small subunit ribosomal RNA", at positions 355 to 896 of the family's 1533-position model. The record is from RNAcentral.